UACGGAGGUUGCAAGCGUUGUUCGGAAUAACUGGGCGUAAAGGGAGCGCAGGCGGCUUGGUAAGUCUAAAGUGAAAUUCCAGGGCUCAACCCUGGACGUGCUUUGGAUACUGCCUGGCUUGAGUACGUGAGAGGAGAUUGGAAUUCCAGGUGUAGCGGUGAAAUGCGUAGAUAUCUGGAGGAACACCGGUGGCGAAAGCGGAUCUCUGGCACGUUACUGACGCUGAGGCUCGAAAGCAUGGGGAGCAAACGGGAUUAGAUACCCCGGUAGUCCAUGCCGUAAACGUUGUGCGCUAGGUGUAGGAGGUAUCGACCCCUUCUGUGCCGCAGCUAACGCAUUAAGCGCACCGCCUGGGGAGUACGGUCGCAAGACUGAA
RNAcentral lists this ribosomal RNA (376 nucleotides) under uncultured bacterium. Its description in RNAcentral is "bacterial SSU rRNA". It matches the Rfam family "Bacterial small subunit ribosomal RNA", at positions 524 to 898 of the family's 1533-position model. The record is from RNAcentral.